Molecule: long non-coding RNA, 682 nt
Organism: Erinaceus europaeus (western European hedgehog)
Lineage: Eukaryota; Metazoa; Chordata; Mammalia; Eulipotyphla; Erinaceidae
Exons: 3
Source: RefSeq, a predicted model, not a curated record
GUUAGCAAUUAAACGAUUAUGUGGUUCAUAUGAAGCAGCUAAUUGCUAGUGUUGCCAGCAAGUGAGCUUAUGAAGCUUUCCCCUUACAGGUGGGGACAAGGGUCUUGAACUCCAGUGUCUUGUGCAUGGUAAUGUGUGCACUUUACUGAAUGCACUACCAUCUACCCCCCCUUCCUUAGUUCAUAUUUUUUUGUUUUUUUGUUUUGCUUUUAAGUGUUUACUUAUUUAUUUCCUUUGUCUUCUUCUUCUUCCUUUUUUUUUUUUUUUUUUUUGCCCCUUAUCAGAGCAUUGCUCUGCUCUGGUUUAUAUUGAACCUAGGAUUUUGGAGCCUCAGGCAAGAGAGUCUGUUAGCAUAAUCAUUAUGCUAUCUAGCCUGCCCCUAAGUUCAUGUUUUUGCAGGUUGCAUUUGUGUGUGUUUCAUCAUUUGGAGCUUCAUCAUUCUUUGCUGAAUUUUCCAGAGAUCAUGACUCUUGAAGAAGAGGUAUCAAUCUGGAACCCUACCACUAGAACUUAAAAGGGACCUCUGCACCCUUUGUCCUGAUCCUUCCCAUUUCCUGCGGCUGGUCCAUUUUCUACAUUGUGAAAACUCUCUGGAGGGAGAUGAAGACACAGAGCUCUGGUAUCCGAAUUGUUUGCAGAGAAAAUUGAAAGGUAUGAGAAGUUACAUGGGACAUCAGAAAAG